Molecule: ribosomal RNA, 510 nt
Filed under: uncultured Desulfobulbus sp.
Lineage: Bacteria; Pseudomonadati; Thermodesulfobacteriota; Desulfobulbia; Desulfobulbales; Desulfobulbaceae
Description: bacterial SSU rRNA
Rfam family: Bacterial small subunit ribosomal RNA
Source: RNAcentral
CGCCUUGCCAGCCCGCUCAGAACUUAAAUGAAUUGACGGGGGCCCGCACAAGCGGUGGAGUAUGUGGUUUAAUUCGAUGCAACGCGAAGAACCUUACCUGGUCUUGACAUCCCGGAGACCCUUAGGAAACUAGGGGGUGCUUCCAUCUGGAAGAAUCUGGAGACAGGUGCUGCAUGGCUGUCGUCAGCUCGUGUCGUGAGAUGUUGGGUUAAGUCCCGCAACGAGCGCAACCCUUGCCUUUAGUUGCCAGCAGUUCGGCUGGGCACUCUAAAGGGACUGCCGGUGUUAAACCGGAGGAAGGUGGGGAUGACGUCAAGUCCUCAUGGCCUUUAUGACCAGGGCUACACACGUACUACAAUGGCCGAUACAAAGGGCAGCGACACUGCGAGGUGAAGCCAAUCCCGUAAAAUCGGUCUCAGUCCGGAUUGGAGUCUGCAACUCGACUCCAUGAAGUUGGAAUCGCUAGUAAUCGUGGAUCAGCAUGCCACGGUGAAUACGUUCCCGGGCCUU